ACCACAACCUCUGCUGUCUCAGAGCUGGCCUUCGCUGCCGCCGCCCCCACCACUGCCCCCGCAGCCAUCGCCACCGCUUUCACCACCACCGUCACCUCUGCCGCUGCCUCCUUGGGGCCCUCCUCCUUCACCGCCCCCUUCGCCACCUCUACACGUUCAAGGCCUUCUGUCCUGGAGAAGAAGCUAUGGUCGGUCUCCCUUGCGGGCCCGGGGCAGAGCCAUGGCGGACCGCGGCGGCGGCGGGGGAAUGGGCGCGGUGGGCAGUGGCGGAGCCGGCCAGGCCUCUGCCGGGGCAGCGACUGGUGCUACUGGGGACAGCGGGGGCGGUGGCCCAGUCAACCCGGCCUCGCUGCCUGCCGGCGACCCGCUGCUCAUCGGUCUCAUCGUGGAACAGCUCAAGAGACGGGGCUUUUUGACAGCUUCCGCCGGGACUGCCUGGCCGACGUGGACACCAAGCCAGCUUACCAAAACCUGAGGCAGAAAGUGGAUAAUUUUGUGUCAACACAUCUGGACAAGCAGGAAUGGAAUCCUACAAUGAAGAAAAACCAAUUGCGAAAUGGUCUGAGGCAGAGUGUGGUUCAGUCAGGGAUGUUGGAAGCUGGGGUAGACAGGAUUAUUUCUCAGGUGGUGGAUCCAAAACUUAACCACACCAUCAGGCCACAAAUAGAACGAGCAAUUCAUGAGUUCCUGGCGGCCCAGAAAAAAGCAGCUGUGCCAGCACCCCCACCAGAGCCCGAAGGCCAGGACCCUCCAGCUCCAUCUCAGGACACUUCCUAAGAAUAUGCCUGACACCUUUUGAAAGCUAAUUUCUGGUGAAGAAGUGGAUUCGGUUGUGUAAGAGUGCAACUUCAGACCGAAGAUAGGCCAAGGUCAUCACUGAUCUCAAGAUUCAACCUUGACCAUGGGCAGUGACCAGAUUGAAAGGGGAGCAAGUUCGGCAGUGGGAAAGUUGACCGUGUCGCCCCCUGCAUUGUGCUGCCAUUUGGCCAGCCUGCCCAAGGGCAUGACACCAAGUAGACACUACACAGAGAAACACUACAGCAAUCCAGGGUUGUCCUGAAACAGACUUUUAUACUUGAACAUGGAGACUGCGAGUGCACUUGAGGGUUUGUACUGUGGAAUAAACGGAAGCUACAGUGAGAACAUAGCCAGUCCCAAAGACAAUUUCAAAGAACAAUGACAGAAAGUUUAGCUGGGAGUAGUCUUUGACAGUGUUUAUUUGAUACUGUCUCUCAGAGUUUGCAAACCAGAUUGUACAAGUCAUUAGCAUCAGAUAGCUUUAAAGUUGUGACCUUCUUGUACAUGAAUCUUCUAGCCAGUUUCCUUUCCUUUGUAGUAGGUAAUGAGACAUGAAAUCCUAGAAUGUGUGAGAAGUUCAGACAUUAGACAUAAGGAAACUCGUUUGCAGGCUCUCUGUCCAGGGCUGCUUCCUGUCCUGGAGGGGCCACUGAGUCUUAGGUAUGUUUAUUUUAUCCUCACAUUUGUGUUUUUUUAGAAAAGUGAAUGAUCAAUAAAUGGCUUAUCUUUCAUAAUAAAA
Molecule: RNA transcript, 1537 nt
Organism: Mandrillus leucophaeus (drill)
Lineage: Eukaryota; Metazoa; Chordata; Mammalia; Primates; Cercopithecidae
Gene name: biorientation of chromosomes in cell division protein 1 pseudogene
Exons: 1
Source: RefSeq, a predicted model, not a curated record